UACCUGCAGCUCGAGUGGUAACCGCUAUUAUUGGGCCUAAAGCGUCCGUAGCCGGUUUGGUAAAUAUCUGGGUAAAUCGUGAGGCUUAACUUCACGAAUUUCGGAUAGACUGCCAGACUUGGGAUCGGGGGAGGUCAGAGGUACUCCAGGGGUAGCGGUGAAAUGUUGUAAUCCUUGGAGGACCACCGGUAGCGAAGGCGUCUGACUAGAACGAGUCCGACGGUGAGGGACGAAGCCCUGGGGCGCAAACCGGAUUAGAUACCCGGGUAGUCCAGGGUGUAAACGAUGUGGGCUUUGUAUUGGAGGUCCCACGUGGGCGUCCAGUGCAGGAGAGAAGUUGUUAAGCCCACCGCCUGGGAAGUACGGUCGCAAGGCUGAAACUUAAAGGAAUUGGCGGGGGAGCACAGCAACGGGAGGAGCGUGCGGUUU
Molecule: ribosomal RNA, 429 nt
Filed under: uncultured archaeon
Lineage: Archaea
Description: bacterial SSU rRNA
Rfam family: Archaeal small subunit ribosomal RNA
Source: RNAcentral